Molecule: long non-coding RNA, 1291 nt
Organism: Rhodamnia argentea
Lineage: Eukaryota; Viridiplantae; Streptophyta; Magnoliopsida; Myrtales; Myrtaceae
Exons: 3
Source: RefSeq, a predicted model, not a curated record
AAGUACGUUGUUUCUAGGGCUAGCAACUCAUGAAGCAUCAUCAGUUUAAUGAUGGAAUUUUUUGUCUGAAUUAGGUGAUAUUAGUGGGUUGCUAAGGUGGCCAGCAGCCCCACCUGGGUAAGAACUGUGGUGGAUAUUAGAAAGUUAGUUGUAGCUCUAAUGCUCCUUAAAUUAUCUGCGGUUCAUUGCCAUCCGUCACAGGAUGGAAAUGCUGGUUGUUGAAGUCUGCAAGCAUGGCGUGUGGCUAUUAGGUAAGAAUGUAAUACAUUGAGCUGCAAGAUUCACCUUAUGCAUAAUAUACAGGUCAUCAUGUUGUCUCCAGCAUCUCAGGUUUAUACACUUCCGCUUAUUGGUACUAUGUAUGUGCGAAGCAGUCCAUGAUUUGAGCUCUUGCUCUGCCCCUUUACCAUAUUUGUUCAUAGUUGGUGAAAAAAGCUUAGCAUUUUUAGCAACUGCAGAACAGGCUGAUCAAUAUAGACAUACGUAGGAUUCUUGCUGAAGAAGGUGCCAAUUCACAGAAGAGUAGUGAUGCACUCUACCAUGCUUCAUCUGAGGCUGGCAAGGAACUUUACAACGAGGGUGAUUUUGAAAAAUCUAAGAUUAUGAAUCUUGAGGCGUAUCUCUUGAAUAAGGUUGGUAUGUUUCCAGAUGUCUUAGAGCGCAAGGUGACUCGCCACUUUGAUGAUGGGGAUGAAGUGGGUUCCUACCAAUUUGUCCUUUUAUUCCCUUUUCUUUCAUAUUGUCUGUCUGAGGCAUCACUGUGAACAUCAUAAUCCUGUGUGCAAUAGCCAUGGUAACUGGAGAGUUCUAUACAAAGAAAGAUCUCUUUCCAGGAUUUGGAUGUCCUUUUGCCUUUUAAGCGGAGAUUUUACUAAGGUUUGUCAAUACUACUACUUUAUACACAUGCUACUUUCCUAUUCUCUCUCUCUCUCUCUCUCUCUAGAAAUACUUCACAUUUGGCAGAGUUGGAUGGGCCUCCGAAGCUGAAGAUGCUGCUAGGGUGGCUCUUAAAUUGCCAUGGUGGACAUUAAGCUACACAUAUGAGGUAUGUCUAUCCAUUGCUAUGAACACAUUCUGUUUCAGUGCCUCGUGUGCUUGUUUACGAGAAUGUCGGGUGGUUCAGGAAGUCUGCUCAAAUAGUACAGUGGGAGGAUGAACAACUAGAGUACACCAAAGAAGUGUCAGAAGAGGGAAAACAAGAGGAUAUCAAGAAGGGCAAGGCACCUGCGCAAGUCUCUUUGGACGUGGCUGAAGCGGGGACUCAAUCCAAGUUCGUUCUGUUCCGGGUUUG